This 488-nucleotide long non-coding RNA is filed under the name Capsicum annuum. RNAcentral describes it as "long non-coding RNA (CANN_LNC020760)". Lineage: Eukaryota; Viridiplantae; Streptophyta; Magnoliopsida; Solanales; Solanaceae. The record is from RNAcentral.
GACCCAUAUCGACCCAUGAACACCCCUACCGCCAACGUCGCCACCACCAACUGCUACCGUUCGAUACCUACUACCAACCAACUCAUCUAUCACAACUAGUACUACCACUAAUAACCACCAACACAUCAUCAACCUCAACACAUCGCUAAUAACCACUAACACAUCAUCAACUUCCACACAUUCUUCGGACACCAUCACCACCACUGUCACCGGCGUCACCACCUCUACCACCACCAUCCGCUACACUCGCUACAGUAUCUGUACUAACAACCAUUCCACCAUCACAGCUAACAGCAUCUCCAACGACCACCAACACAUCGUCAACCAUCAUGCAUACAGUUUUCCGUCACCACGAUCAACACCUCCAACUACUAACAUUAACCAACUUCACAGCACAACCACCGCCACCACUACCAAUCGCCAAUAUCAUGACAGUUACUACAAUGCCAACUAUCUCUACUAUCACAACUAUCAUCACCAACAUUGCU